This 253-nucleotide ribosomal RNA is filed under the name uncultured bacterium. Its description in RNAcentral is "partial 16S ribosomal RNA". It matches the Rfam family "Bacterial small subunit ribosomal RNA", at positions 524 to 776 of the family's 1533-position model. The record is from RNAcentral.
UACGAAGGGGGCUAGCGUUGUUCGGAAUUACUGGGCGUAAAGCGCACGUAGGCGGUCAUUUAAGUUGGAGGUGAAAGCCUUGGGCUCAACCCAAGAAUUGCCUUUGAUACUGGAUGUCUCGAGACCGGGAGAGGUGAGUGGAAUUCCGAGUGUAGAGGUGAAAUUCGUAGAUAUUCGGAAGAACACCAGUGGCGAAGGCGGCUCACUGGCCCGGUUCUGACGCUGAGGUGCGAAAGCGUGGGGAGCAAACAGG